UGUCCAGUGGUGUAAUGGUAGCACUUCAGAUUCUGGAUCUGCCUGUGAGGGUUCGAAUCCUUCCUGGACAA
RNAcentral lists this transfer RNA (71 nucleotides) under Candidatus Caccoplasma merdipullorum. RNAcentral describes it as "tRNA-Gln". It matches the Rfam family "tRNA". From Rfam's summary of the family: Transfer RNA (tRNA) molecules are approximately 80 nucleotides in length. Lineage: Bacteria; Pseudomonadati; Bacteroidota; Bacteroidia; Bacteroidales; Bacteroidaceae. The record is from RNAcentral.